This is a long non-coding RNA of Athalia rosae (coleseed sawfly), 340 nucleotides long. RefSeq lists it as uncharacterized. The transcript has 3 exons. The record is from RefSeq and is a predicted model, not a curated record. Lineage: Eukaryota; Metazoa; Arthropoda; Insecta; Hymenoptera; Athaliidae.
GUCCAGUCUGUUGGAAAAGUUAAGGUUAUCAUUUUAUGGAAUGCUUGAGAAAUCAGUGUCUUCACCAUUGAUCUCUGCUAGAAUUUCUCCUGGUGACUGAAAAAACAAAAGGGCACACUCUGAAAUAUGCUGGUCCAAUCUUGUGCUGCAGCUGGAUGUAGUGAUCCUCACUUCCCCCAGUGAACGUGAGCAUGAACUAGUUGCAGCAGGUAUCUGAACAUUUUUGAAAGUACCAGAUAUUUACUGGCACUUUGAUUAAAGUUUGUCAAGUUGGUUCUUGGUAUUCCUGGCAUGCUUGAAGCAAAAUACUUUUGCAUAUCAACUUGUGACACGGAGUGAU